GUCCAGACUCCUACGGGAGGCAGCAGUGGGGAAUAUUGGACAAUGGGGGAAACCCUGAUCCAGCGACGCCGCGUGAGUGAAGAAGUAUUUCGGUACGUAAAGCUCUAUCAGCAGGAAAGAAAAUGACGGUACCUGACUAAGAAGCCCCGGCUAACUACGUGCCAGCAGCCGCGGUAAUACGUAGGGGGCAAGCGUUAUCCGGAUUUACUGGGUGUAAAGGGGGCGCAGACGGCAGCGCAAGCCAGGAGUGAAAGCCCGGGGCCCAACCCCGGGACUGCUCUUGGAACUGCGCGGCUGGAGUGCAGGAGGGGCAGGCGGAAUUCCUGGUGUAGCGGUGAAAUGCGUAGAUAUCAGGAGGAACACCGGUGGCGAAGGCGGCCUGCUGGACUGCGACUGACGUUGAGGCCCGAAAGCGUGGGGAGCAAACAGGAUUAGAUACCCCCGUA
Molecule: ribosomal RNA, 446 nt
Filed under: uncultured bacterium
Lineage: Bacteria
Description: bacterial SSU rRNA
Rfam family: Bacterial small subunit ribosomal RNA
Source: RNAcentral